Molecule: long non-coding RNA, 3141 nt
Organism: Homo sapiens (human)
Lineage: Eukaryota; Metazoa; Chordata; Mammalia; Primates; Hominidae
Exons: 4
Source: RefSeq, a predicted model, not a curated record
CCUGGGCCGCGCCGGUGCCACCGGGCAGUCCUCGGGGCAGGAGCCCACCGAGGGGAGACAGCGCUGGGAGCGCCUCGUACCCCGGCCAUACGCAGACUCGGCGCGCUGAAUUCCACCCCGCGGACCCGCGCCCCACAGACCUUUGUCCCACGGGUCCUGGUUCCGCAGACCCUAAUCCUGCAGACCCCUGAGCCCGCGGACCCUGGCCCAGCAGGUGGUGGUCGCGGUGGGUCCCAGCUCCGGGAGGGGACGCCCUGGGACGCGGAGGGGCGCGCGGGCGUGGGGGCCGUGGCUCAGCCCCCCUUCCUCUCGCUCCCUCCGCCUCCCUGGGCGCCCCCUCGCCCCCUUCCUCUCGCGUCCCCGGGUUCUCGCCCCUUCUUUCCUGAUGCCUGCCUGAUUUUCUGGAAAGACCGACACCCCCAGUCGCCCCCACCGCGGCUCCCGGUUCCUUCCCCUGCAGAGCAGACGGGGGCUGGAGUAGGGGCCAACAUGGGUGACAUGGGUGGACCGGCAGGGCGGUCCCUGGGGUGCCCUUUAACUCUUUCUGUGCCACAUCCCCGGUCUCUGGCCAGUCCUGUCGCGCUAAGGCCCCUCCAGCAGCGCUGACCCUGGUCCCCCACCUGCUGGUCCUGCGGCCGCGGGGCGCUCUCUCCUCCGUCCCACCCGCUCCUUCCACACCACCUCCUUUCCUGGGAGUGGAGAAGCCCCAGCCAGAACCCCUGCCUUCCCCAAGAGGCACGCUCAGAGGGACAUUCUCCCCUUCCUCACUCCCCCUAGAGCCACAUCACACCUGGCUUUGGGGCCCUAGAACCUCAGCCCGCGCCCCUCCCCUUCCACCCCCAGCCAUCCCUGCUCUGUGCCCAGUGAUCUUGGGGUCACCACAACCCCAUGGCGCCUUGAGGCCUCACCUUUCCUGGCCUCUCAGCAUCCUGGGACACUGAUGGUCAUGCCUUCCUUCUAGAAAGUUCUCUCCGAGGCUGUGGCUUCCAGGAUGAGCACUCUCCUCCUCCCACUUCCUCCCCUUCUCCUUCCCCCUCCUCCCUUCUCCCUGGAGAGGUCUUCCUCCAAGUCCCAGUCUUCUUCCCCACCCAGAGCCCCUCCCGCUGACACUUGUCUGCAGUGCCUGUCUCCGCUCCCGCUAGGAAGCCUCCCCUCCGGCAUCUCCAAUCCAUCUCUGGGUCCUGCUCCACCUGCAUUUCCCUAGACCUGUCCUGGCCACCCUCACCCUGGGACACCUCCUGCCCGUGGAGAGCUCCUCUGAUAGGUGCCGUCCUUGGUCUUGGGGGUCCUUUCUCCCUAAUUCUACUUCUGUUUUGGGGGCGUGGGAACCCAGGGUCUUAACCCCAGCCAUUCCCCCUCCCAGGGGCCACUUCCCUCUGAAGCUUAGCCCAGCUCUGUGACCCCCACAGGCCUGCCCCCACCUGGUCCUCACUCCCCUGCAUAGCCACACUGUGGGGGCUCCAUGCUUCCCAGCCCAUAGGAAGCCCUGUUCCCAGAGGGGGCCAUUCUGUUUUAGUUGGAGCAGUGGCCAGAGGCAAAGGUCAGAAGGCAAAGGUCAUAAAAGUUUGUCUCUACCUGCCAGCAUCUGCUCCUGCUACUGCAUCUUCUCCCCUCUCCACCCAAACCCUCCCUCAGCUCCUGCCCCCACCUCUCCAGAGGCACAGACAACAGGGUUCUGAUCUUGGGUCAUGGUGCUCCCCCUGCCAGCCUCAGUCCGAGACCUCUGUGAAUGGCGGUGAUGGCUAAUGGGAUGAGGGGGACCACCUCCUGGUGGCUGCAGGGACUGGGGUGAGGGUGCUGUAGGCUCUGCCUAAGUCAAGUGCCAUGGGGCUGAAGAGACGGCGCACCGGCCCUGGAGAAGAGUCCUCCCUGCCCUCCUGUGUCUGGCCUUGUUUCCUGGAGGACAGGUCCCCACGGGGCAGAGGCCCAGCAGUCCCAGGUAAGCGCUGGGUGGCCGGAGUCUGGUACCUGCAGGAAGAGAAGUAGAAGAAUAAAUUUGGAGUGUGUGAAGGGGGCAAAGCCUGAAAGGUUCGGACUCAGUGUGGGGAGGGAGAGGGAACAGAUGGGGUGGGGCACCUCCCCUGGGCUGGGUGACCCUUAUUUAUAUGACUGAAUCCAUGACAAGAUUGUUUGCUUGACCAAACUGUAGUCCGGCUUCAGAACCUUCUCACAGGCUCAUCUGCAUUCUGCCUUAUAAAAUCCAGAUUCAGCAAGAACUCUGCUAAGUCAGUUUGGCAAGAAGCCUCCAUCCCCCCAUAUCUGAUCAGGGUCCUCAGCCUCCGCCACCCCCAGGCGAUGUCUGCUUACCUUGCCUGCCUUCAGCAAGCUUCCUUUUACCUGGGUAGGGUCCUCAGCUUCCACCACCCCCAGGCGACGUCUGCUCACCCUGGCUGCCCGCAGCAAGAUUCCUGUUAUCUGGGUAGAGUCCUCAGCCUCCGCCACCCCCAGGCGAUGUCUGCUCACCUUGCCUGCCUUAAGCAAGAUUCCUGUUACCUGGGUAGAGUCCUCAGCCUCUGCUACCCACAGGCAAUGUCUGCUCACCCUGCCUGCCUUCAGCAGGCUUCCUUUUACCUGGGUAGGGUCCUCAGUUUCCGCCACCCCCAGGCAAUAUCUGCUCACCCUGGCUGCCUUCAGCAAGCUUCAUUUUACCUUGGUAGGUUCCUUAGCCUCUGCCACCUCCAGGCCGUGUCUGCUAACCCUGUCUGCCGUCAGCAAGCUUCGUUUUACCUGGGUAGGUUCCUUAGCCUCUGCCACCUCCAGGCCGUGUCUGCUAACCCUGUCUGCCGUCAGCAAGCUUCAUUUUACCUGGUCCCGAACAAAAUAUGUGUUUCAACUGCUAUCCAGUUCUGGUUUCCCUUGACAUUGACGGCACCUGCAGAACUUAAUUUCGGUGUCCAGCAAGACUUAUGGAGCCCAUACUGCCAGCGAGACUCAGAAGCCCCACCCUGGAGUUCUGCAAGGGGCUGAUGAGGAGGAGGGAUGAAAGCGACAGCCGGAAGCCAAGGCGGAGGGACCAGGGGUGGGAGGGGAGGCUGCAUCUGGGCCCAGAAAAACGUGGAAAUGCAGGAAGGGAAACAGGAGGGUGGUGGGGCUGCCCCUCGGAGAGACCUUCUGUGAGCAUUAAAGGGCAUUUUUUUUCCA